Triticum aestivum (bread wheat) is the source of this 3459-nucleotide RNA transcript. It is a transcript of the gene named bidirectional sugar transporter SWEET1a, with no coding region annotated. The record is from RefSeq and is a predicted model, not a curated record. The transcript has 6 exons. NCBI's taxonomy places the organism in Eukaryota, Viridiplantae, Streptophyta, Magnoliopsida, Poales, Poaceae.
AAAAAGAAAAAGAAAACUCCCUCACCCUCUCACCCCACGAACCCUAGCGCUCCAGAUCCGCCACCCACCUCACGCGCUCCCUCUCCCCCAUCCCUCCCCUCGUCUCCCACAUCGCCGCCGCCACCCCGCCGAUCCCAUCCCUCCCGAUUUAGAUCCGACCCCGCCGCCCGCGCCCGGGCGCCACCACCCGCUCCUCCUCGCCUCCCGGAGGACGUCUGUCGCUCUUCCUUCGCCCGUCCCGGAGGCCUCAGUCUGCGCCCUCCGUUGCAGGGCCGCCGCGCUCGUCCUGCCCUCGGCGCCGCACCUCCACCGCCAUCUCCGCUGGCUCCUCGCCGACGCCUCCGCCCUUCCCCGUCUAGCGCACCGCUUGGGAACGAGCACUGGAAGGACCUGGUGGUCACCGUCCGGGACGACGUGCUCAUCCCGCGGCCCAAGACGGAGGCCCUCGUGGACAUGGUAGCCACCACCGACUACGAGCGGGGGUCCUGGUCCUGUCCCUCGUCGUCCUCGGCGGCGGCAUUACGGUUUGGCUCCAUCGCCGUGCCCUGCGUCGACGUCUCGAUCAGCUUCACGGAUCGCCGUCUUCACGAGGUUGGUCGAAGAGGGCUGGAGUUCAUGCCGUUCCUGAUGUCCCUGUCCGUGUUCCUCUUUGGCACCUCCUGGUUCAUCUACGCCCUGCUCGGCCUCGACCCCUUCAUCUUCGACCUGAUCCUAGAUCAUCAUAUAUUGAAAUCUGGGACUUGUUUGAGAGUUCAGACUCCCUAUUUCGGGGCAGCAACAAGGAAAUUUAAGGCCUGUUUGUAGUGAUUCACAAGGAUUUCCUGGUGCGUGCUUUGCUCCCCUUCGAACCAAAUCGAACCCAACAGAGAAAACACACCCGCACGCAUCCUUUUGGUCGCUGUCCCUGAUGCCAAAUUGUUGAAAAUAUUGGAGCUAAAUUGGUCAGGUUGAAAAUACUCAGGUUGGUGCAACUCCGGCCUUGUCACCCACACAUCGUGCCCGCAGCGGCCUCAGCGCUGCCGACACCACCACCAGCUUCGGCGCUUCGCGUUUGAGUUUUGCAACGCCGGCGGACGUCCGAGCUGCUUACUGAAUGCCAGAUGGUGGAAAUGAUUGUGCUGAUAUACGCCCGCGACAGCCCCAAACGCUAGAGCAGUUCAACUCCUUGCGGGUCCCCAAUCUCAGGUUUGGACCUUUCUUGGUGGAUGUGUCUCCUUACUUCAUCUCUUUUACUUUCAACUUUGUCGCAACCAUAGAGGAUUCUUAAUUUGAUUCUUCUGGUAUGUAUGUGGUUGCAGCACCCUGUUUGAAAUAUAAUAUAUCAUGUUCUCUGCACCGUCGCUGAUUUUCAAUAGUAACAAUUUCGUACUCCUCCAGCACCAUAUUUCAUUAGGAUAAUGUUAUUGCUUCUUGAGGUUUAUUUAUAGACAUGGGAUGUUCUCAAAGUUUAAUCUUAAUAUAGGUUCAUACGGACUCGGUCGGACAAAGCAAUUUCAUUUGAGCAGAAAUGAUACUAAAUCACCUGUCAGUUAAUCCUUUCAUGUAGGAGAACCAUUAUACUAAUCAGAAGAUGCAUGCGUUCUGGCAUCCACUAAGGGUGACCCCUUUUUUAGUUUUGUCACAUAAUGUUAGUUACUCACCUUAGAGAACCCCCUUUUUUAUCUUCUAUAAGGUUGCCUGCUACUGCUAGCGUAUGCAAGUAAAAGCAGCUAUUUGCACCAUCAUUCAUUGCUUCAAACUUCUGUUGAUCAAUUCACACCCAAAAAAACGCUUACUUGACUGGCUACUAUCAAAUCAAAAUUUUAUAAAACGGACAAUCUAGCACUCAUAUGUCAUAUGACAAUUGCAAAUCUCUCACAGUCUAUCGAAGGGAAAAAGGUGUACAUGUUUUUUAGCUUUUACCUUUAUAAAUGUAUAAGUAUCAUGUACUUAUCUACUUGCUUCCUCAACGCCCCCCUUUAUUAUCCUCUCUAACCUAUUACUAUAUAGUGCAGUGUCAAAUAAUAUAGUUCACACUAUUAGAUAAUUAAGAAAAUAUCUGAGUGACCAAAGCAUUGUUCACCCAGUAGGUUGCAAUACACUCUAUGCAUACUUACGCUUUUGUAACAUUGUUGUUCUCGAAUUCUCAAUACCAGUUUGGCAUUUCAUUCUUUCAUUUAUAAGAAAAUCCUUAACGUCAACUAAGUGUCCCGCAACAACGCACGGGGUAUCAUCUAGUUCAUUCAGUUUGACUGUGCGUAAACACUAUAGUGUACAACUAUCAACUUGUUUCACUAUUCAGUUUGUCAUCCAUUCAGCUUACUUACUGGGGCAUAUUUCUUGUGAGAGUUUACUUGAUAGUACAAUAUGUCAGAAGAAACUACCAUUUCUCCGGAAUGAAUCAUUGAUUGCUCUUUAUACACUUACAACUCGGUUUCUUUCAUAUAAGUUCUGAUGCCUUUCUUUAGGUCGAGCUACUGCCCUGUUAAUUAUUGUAACAAACUUUAUCAUUUGCCAGUUUGCACUGUGUUGAGAACUGACCAAUAAGUUUUGUUUGCCAAUUAGCUUUCUGUGUGCAUGCUCUUAAUCCCCAUAUUACUAAUUUCUGAAUCAAACAUUAUUAUUUCUGUCCUCAACAAGUCGCAGCGCUAUGUUCUGUUUUUUGUUUAGUUAGCUCUGUCAAAUAUAAUCAACCUGCCUAUGUUCCAUUUUGCUAUUUGUACUUAGGUAGAAAAAGCUAAAAUCUGUACAUGUAAUGCUGAAGCUAUAUUGGUUGCUUGUUUCUUAAUUUUUUCUUCUAUAAUGAUGAUCUGAAAUGCCACGCAGGUCAUUAUUGGUGGUGCUACUGCUGUUGUUGUGGUUGUUGGAGGUGUUGCUGUUGCAUCUGGCGGAGCUGCCGUUGGGGCCCCAAAAGGUAACCUUCAUCAGCCACAACCCCACAACAAUGGCUCAAGGUUCUGUGCCCUAUCACCCCUCUUUCUAAAUUACUGAAAUGAACCAAGAUCUCAUAUAUUUAGGAACGGAGGUAGUAGUAAGGUUAAAAUAGAAAAGCAAGGGAUGUUUCUAAUUUGGUUAUGCUAGAAUAAUGCAUCAACUCGUGGCAUUCUUGGAUGUUACUCUAAGGUGUCAAAAUGAUAGUAAAACCUAGGCUCUUGCAUGGUUCUUGAAUUAAUUUUUCUAUUUUAUGGCUAACAAAUAUUGCCUAUGUUGAGACUCUAAACAUGUGGAUUUUCCUCUCAUUUAUAGGAAUUCUACCUGAAGAAAUUCGGAGAAAACUUGAAGCCCCAGUUAGCGACUUGCUUUAUAUGUUAUUGACUUGUCAUGCUAAAUUUGUUGAGAAUUUUGAUAUACUAUUGCACAUGUUACUCGAAUGCUGGUAGUUAUGUACAUAUACUCACAAUAUUAUCCGUUGUUUACUUGAAAUGCAUUCUUGGGCUGAAAGUGGCUGAAAAAGUAUAUGCUGUGUUGAUUCUGCGUUGA